RNAcentral lists this transfer RNA (76 nucleotides) under Gammaproteobacteria bacterium. Its description in RNAcentral is "tRNA-Glu". It matches the Rfam family "tRNA". Rfam says of the family: Transfer RNA (tRNA) molecules are approximately 80 nucleotides in length. Their secondary structure includes four short double-helical elements and three loops (D, anti-codon, and T loops). Further hydrogen bonds mediate the characteristic L-shaped molecular structure. tRNAs have two regions of fundamental functional importance: the anti-codon, which is responsible for specific mRNA codon recognition, and the 3' end, to which the tRNAs corresponding amino acid is attached (by aminoacyl-tRNA synthetases). tRNAs cope with the degeneracy of the genetic code in two manners: having more than one tRNA (with a specific anti-codon) for a particular amino acid; and 'wobble' base-pairing, i.e. permitting non-standard base-pairing at the 3rd anti-codon position. The record is from RNAcentral. Lineage: Bacteria; Pseudomonadati; Pseudomonadota; Gammaproteobacteria.
GAUCCGGUGGACAAACGGCUAAGUCACCGCGCUUUCAACGUGGACAUUGCGGGUUCGAAUCCCGUCCGGAUCACCA